This 750-nucleotide ribosomal RNA is filed under the name uncultured bacterium. RNAcentral describes it as "bacterial SSU rRNA". It matches the Rfam family "Bacterial small subunit ribosomal RNA", at positions 10 to 756 of the family's 1533-position model. The record is from RNAcentral.
AGUUUGAUCCUGGCUCAGAUUGAACGCUGGCGGCAUGCUUUACACAUGCAAGUCGAACGGCAGCGGGGGCUUCGGCCUGCCGGCGAGUGGCGAACGGGUGAGUAAUACAUCGGAACGUGUCCUUAAGUGGGGAAUAACGCAUCGAAAGAUGUGCUAAUACCGCAUAUCUCUCAGGAGGAAAGCAGGGGAUCGAAAGACCUUGCGCUAAAGGAGCGGCUGAUGUCUGAUUAGCUAGUUGGUGGGGUAAAGGCUUACCAAGGCAACGAUCAGUAGCUGGUCUGAGAGGACGACCAGCCACACUGGGACUGAGACACGGCCCAGACUCCUACGGGAGGCAGCAGUGGGGAAUUUUGGACAAUGGGCGAAAGCCUGAUCCAGCCAUGCCGCGUGAGUGAAGAAGGCCUUCGGGUUGUAAAGCUCUUUUAGUCGGAAAGAAAGAGUCAUAGUAAAUAGCUAUGAUUUAUGACGGUACCGACAGAAAAAGCACCGGCUAACUACGUGCCAGCAGCCGCGGUAAUACGUAGGGUGCGAGCGUUAAUCGGAAUUACUGGGCGUAAAGGGUGCGCAGGCGGCCUUGUAAGUCAGAUGUGAAAGCCCCGGGCUUAACCUGGGAAUUGCGUUUGAAACUACAAAGCUAGAGUGCAGCAGAGGGGAGUGGAAUUCCAUGUGUAGCAGUGAAAUGCGUAGAGAUGUGGAAGAACACCGAUGGCGAAGGCAGCUCCCUGGGUUGACACUGACGCUCAUGCACGA